UCAGCAGUGUUAUCCCCAGUGGAUCAUCGAGAUGUAGAAGCAUCCUCGACAGAGUUUCGGGCAACCCAGAGUGGGUAAGGAAGAAAAGGAAAAGUCAUCCCCAGCAAAAUAAUCCCCAGCAGUUUCGAGGGAAGACAACAUAGGUAAGUAAAUAAUUCAGGAAGAAGGAAAUGGUUCACGCAUAGGAGACGCACUUCCUAAGUGAAGAUUUCAUUAAUAGGAGACGCACUUCCUAGUUUGAAAUCAUUAAAGUUUCACCCAUAGGAGAUGCAUUUCCUCCUAAGUUUGUUUUAGUUUCACCCCAUAGGAGAUGCAUUUCCUCCUAAGUUUACUUUCACCCAUAGGAGAGGCAUUUCCUCCUAAGUUUAGUUUUACCCAUAGGAGACGCAUUUCCUCCUAAGUUUACUUUGACUCAUAGGAGAUGCAUUUCCUCCUAAGUUUAGAUUCAGCCAUAGGAGACGCAUUUCCUCCUACGU
Molecule: long non-coding RNA, 476 nt
Filed under: Nicotiana tabacum (common tobacco)
Lineage: Eukaryota; Viridiplantae; Streptophyta; Magnoliopsida; Solanales; Solanaceae
Description: long non-coding RNA (NTAB_LNC009869)
Source: RNAcentral